CAGUCGCCGCGGUAAAACGGAGGGUGCAAGCGUUAAUCGGAAUUACUGGGCGUAAAGCGUGCGUAGGCGGUUCGUUAAGUCUGUUGUGAAAGCCCCGGGCUCAACCUGGGAAUGGCAAUGGAUACUGGCGAGCUAGAGUGUGUCAGAGGAUGGUGGAAUUCCCGGUGUAGCGGUGAAAUGCGUAGAGACCGGGAGGAACAUCAGUGGCGAAGGCGGCCAUCUGGGACAACACUGACGCUGAGGCACGAAAGCGUGGGGAGCAAACAGGAUUAGAUACCCGUGUAGUCCCUGUCUCUUAUAC
This 301-nucleotide ribosomal RNA is filed under the name uncultured bacterium. Its description in RNAcentral is "partial 16S ribosomal RNA". It matches the Rfam family "Bacterial small subunit ribosomal RNA", at positions 509 to 807 of the family's 1533-position model. The record is from RNAcentral.